ACGGCUCAGUUAACACGUGGACAACCUACCCAAGAGUCAGGGAUAACCCCGGGAAACUGGGGAUAAUACCUGAUAGGCCAUGACAUCUGGAAUCGAGUUGUGGUUUAAACGUAAGGCUCUUGGAUGGGUCUGCGGCGGAUUAGGUUGUUGCCGGUGUAACGUACCAGCAAGCCUGUAAUCCGUACGGGUUGUGGGAGCAAGAGCCCGGAGAUGGAUUCUGAGACACGAAUCCAGGCCCUACGGGGCGCAGCAGGCGCGAAAACUCUACAAUGCAGGCAACUGCGAUAGGGGAACAUCGAGUGGCACCCACCAUGGGUGUCUGUCCAAUCGUCUAAAAAACGAUUGUCAGCAAGGGCCGGGCAAGACCGGUGCCAGCCGCCGCGGUAAUACCGGCGGCUCGAGUGGUGGCCGAUAUUAUUGAGUCUAAAGGGUCCGUAGCCGGCUUUGCAAGUCCUAUGGGAAAUCCAGCGGCUUAACCGUUGGGCUUUCAUGGGAUACUACAUUGCUUGGGACUGGGAGAGGUAGGAGGUACUCAGGGGGUAGGGGUGAAAUCCUGUAAUCCUUUGGGGACCACCGGUGGCGAAGGCGUCCUACCAGAACAGGUCCGACGGUGAGGGACGAAAGCUAGGGGCACGAACCGGAUUAGAUACCCGGGUAGUCCUAGCCGUAAACGAUGCUCGCUAGGUGUCACGGCAGUCGUGAAUUGUCGUGGUGCCGUAGGGAAGCCGUGAAGCGAGCCACUUGGGAAGUACGACCGCAAGGUUGAAACUUAAAGGAAUUGGCGGGGGAGCAC
This 793-nucleotide ribosomal RNA is filed under the name uncultured archaeon. RNAcentral's name for it is "bacterial SSU rRNA". It matches the Rfam family "Archaeal small subunit ribosomal RNA", at positions 85 to 879 of the family's 1478-position model. The record is from RNAcentral.